Molecule: non-coding RNA, 73 nt
Organism: Phrynosoma platyrhinos (Desert horned lizard)
Lineage: Eukaryota; Metazoa; Chordata; Lepidosauria; Squamata; Phrynosomatidae
Source: the annotation of a GenBank genome assembly
GCCAGCAUGGUAUAUUGGUUAGACCAUUGGACCAAGACUCCAGAAGACCAGGGUUCAAAUUCCUGUUCAGCCA